This 462-nucleotide ribosomal RNA is filed under the name uncultured bacterium. Its description in RNAcentral is "bacterial SSU rRNA". It matches the Rfam family "Bacterial small subunit ribosomal RNA", at positions 1 to 507 of the family's 1533-position model. The record is from RNAcentral.
CAGUAGUCACGUAGUUGAUCAGUGGCACAGAACGAACGCUGGCGGCAUGCCUAACACAUGCAAGUCGAACGAGACCUUCGGGUCUAGUGGCGCACGGGUGCGUAACGCGUGGGAACCUGCCUUUAGGUUCGGAAUAACUCAGAGAAAUUUGAGCUAAUACCGGAUAAUGUCUUCGGACCAAAGAUUUAUCGCCUUUAGAUGGGCCCGCGUUGGAUUAGCUAGUUGGUGGGUAAAGGCCUACCAAGGCGACGAUCCAUAGCUGGUCUGAGAGGAUGAUCAGCCACACUGGGACUGAGACACGGCCCAGACUCCUACGGGAGGCAGCAGUGGGGAAUAUUGGACAAUGGGCGAAAGCCUGAUCCAGCAAUGCCGCGUGAGUGAUGAAGGCCUUAGGGUUGUAAAGCUCUUUUACCCGAGAUGAUAAUGACAGUAUCGGGAGAAUAAGCUCCGGCUAACUCCGUG